AGAAAGAAAACGACAGUGUUUAUUUUUGUAGUAUAGAUAUUAUUACAAAAAGUGUACCUAACAAAAGAAAAGAAAGAGCAAUUGAUUUGUUAAAAAAUUCCAAAAAAUUAUUUUGACAAGAAAAACUUAAGGAAAAACUAAUGUCAUCUACCAUGGCUGAAGGAUAUAUUAUGAAUUUUAAUCAGGACUUUACUUCCAUAUCGGUUUUAAGUAAAAAUGGCUUUCGUUUGUUCACCAUUAAUGCAGGCGAUAAAAUCGAUGAGAUAUUCGCCAAAGAGAAUUCAGAACAAAUACGCAUUGUCGAGAGGCUAUUCAAUAGUUCGCUGGUAGUGCUGGUCACUCAACAGAAACCCAAUUGCCUAAAGAUGCUGCAUUUCAAAAAGAAACAGGAUAUUUGUAAUUGUGUUUAUCCUUCGGAUAUAUUGUGUGUUCGCAUGAAUCGUUAUCGUUUGAUUGUGUGUCUAGCGGAGAGUAUACAUAUACACGAUAUACGUGAUAUGAAAAUCUUACAUUCCAUUGAGAAUAUAGCACCAAAUGAAUAUGGUUUGUGUUCGCUGUCGUUGAAUUCACAUUUAGCAUUUCCCAUUUGUACGACUAGUGGAGAGUUGAGAAUUUUCAAUGCCAAUAAAUUGAAAACGGGUCUAACGAUUAAGGCUCAUGAUACGGCCUUGUCUGCCUUGAAUUUCUCACCGAAUGGCACUAUGUUGGCAACAGCCUCGGAGCGUGGUACUGUGAUAAGGGUAUUUUGUGUUAAGAAUGGUCAAAGGGUUCAGGAAUUUCGUAGAGGCGUUAAGCGUUGUGUGAGAAUAGCAUCAUUGGUAUUUUCUACUACCGGUGACUUUCUGUGUGCAUCUUCGAAUACCGAGACUGUUCAUAUAUUUAAGAUUGAUGUUAAAGCUGUGGAGGCUGCCGAAAGAAAGUCCAAUAUAGUAGACGAUGAAACUAAAAAACCCCAUACAGCGUUAGCACCUUCAACAUCUCAACCUAAAGAGGAGGCUUCUAACAAUCAACAAGCUACAAAAGCUUCUGCUAAUAGUACAACUUCAGCUGAUGCCCCUGUAACUGCAAAUUCUUCUUCCAGCAAUCAAACACCCGCCUCUACAACUUCUAAUAAUUCCUGGUCCAUGAGUGGUUAUCUAUCGAAAGCGGUCUCUUCUUAUCUGAUACCUUCACAAAUAGGUGAUGUGUUGGCGCAAGACAGAGCUUUUGCCACCGCAGUAUUAGGUCAACCGGGUCUUAAACAUGUUUGUGGUUUGGCACGCAUACAAAAGGAGUUACGUCUACUAAUGGCCUGUGAAGAUGGUUUCCUUUAUGUUUAUGAUUUUAAUAGUGAAAAAGGUGGUCCCUGUAAACUAUUACAUGUUCAUGAUUUGCGUUACACCCUAGAAGGUGUUAUAGAACUCAAUCUAACCGACAGCAUGGACAAAAUAUCUCUCUCAGGCCUAUUACCCUCUACACCCACUACCAAUCCCUCUUCCGGUUUUUCAGCUGAUAAAACUCCUACUAUUUCAACAGACUCUCAACAUUCCAAGGAUUCAUCACCAUCGCCCCACAGUAAAUCGAGCUCUAUGAGCAGUGUUAGUGUUAUAAUUGAAAAUCCUGAACCCACAACGGAUAAUUCAUAUGCUAGCAUUUUAAAAGGUUCUGAACAAACGGUGAACACUACUCUGACAGGUAUUAAGACCUAAUUUUUUCACUUAUUUUAAAAACACUUAUGGAGGGAAUAACAUAAACAUAUACAGACAUACAUAAUUUUGAAUUGAAAUGAUUCUGCCAAAUUUCGAAAACUCUGUGAUGCCAUUGACACACCCACUAAACUGUACGAUGAGCGACAAUUUCCUCCUGUAGCUAUAGCAGCCAAAGAUUGACACAAAAAUCCCGCCAAGGCUCAGCGUUUAAAGGAUACUAACAUGACAUAAACAAAAAGGAUUUUUUUCUAUAAAUAAAAAAAAUCUAUAAAAAAAAUGAAUUUAAAAAAUUUUAAAAAUCACAAAACUACUCC
This 2002-nucleotide unclassified non-coding RNA is filed under the name Lucilia cuprina (Australian sheep blowfly). RNAcentral's name for it is "wD repeat domain phosphoinositide-interacting protein 2, transcript variant X4". Lineage: Eukaryota; Metazoa; Arthropoda; Insecta; Diptera; Calliphoridae. The record is from RNAcentral.